RNAcentral lists this ribosomal RNA (408 nucleotides) under uncultured bacterium. RNAcentral's name for it is "bacterial SSU rRNA". It matches the Rfam family "Bacterial small subunit ribosomal RNA", at positions 355 to 774 of the family's 1533-position model. The record is from RNAcentral.
UGGGGAAUCUUGCGCAAUGGACGGAAGUCUGACGCAGCGACGCCGCGUGUGGGAGGAAGGCCUUCGGGUUGUAAACCACUUUCGGGAGGGAAGAAGCGUUUUGUGACGGUACCUUCAGAAGAAGCCCCGGCCAACUACGUGCCAGCAGCCGCGGUAAUACGUAGGGGGCGAGCGUUGUCCGGAAUUAUUGGGCGUAAAGGGCUCGUAGGUGGUUCGUUAAGUUAGAUGUGAAAUUGUACGGCUUAACCGUGCACUGGCAUCUGAUACUGGCGGGCUUGAGGCAGGUAGAGGAGAAUGGAAUUCCUGGUGUAGCGGUGGAAUGCGCAGAUAUCAGGAGGAACACCGAUUGCGAAGGCAGUUCUCUGGGCCUGUUCUGACGCUGAGGAGCGAAAGCGUGGGGAGCGAACA